GAUGAAGAACGUAGCGAAAUGCGAUAAGUAGUGUGAAUUGCAGAAUUCAGUGAAUCAUCGAAUCUUUGAACGCACAUUGCGCCCCUUGGGAUUCCAUGGGGCAUGCCUGUUCGUGCGUCAUUUGUACCUUCAAGCUUUGCUUGGUGUUGGGUGUUUGUCUCGCCUUUGCGUGUAGACUCGCCUUAAAAUAAUUGGCAGCCGGCGUAUUGAUUUCGGAGCGCAGUACAUCUCGCGCUUUGCACUCAUAACGACAGCGUCCAAAAGUACAUUUUACACUCUUGACCUCGGAUCAGGUAGGGAUACCCGCUGAACUUAAGCAUAUCAAUAAGCGGAGGA
RNAcentral lists this unclassified non-coding RNA (336 nucleotides) under soil metagenome. RNAcentral's name for it is "partial contains 5.8S ribosomal RNA, internal transcribed spacer 2, and large subunit ribosomal RNA". The stretch from base 1 to 120 matches the Rfam family "5.8S ribosomal RNA", at positions 35 to 154 of the family's 154-position model. The record is from RNAcentral.